Molecule: long non-coding RNA, 707 nt
Filed under: Fukomys damarensis (Damara mole-rat)
Lineage: Eukaryota; Metazoa; Chordata; Mammalia; Rodentia; Bathyergidae
Description: lncRNA (ENSFDAG00000021654.1)
Source: RNAcentral
CAUUUUACCACCGGAUGUCACGUGACUGGGAAGAUCAUUUGGAGACGUUCAAAGGUGAAAAUGACCACCGAGAUGGGUAGAGCGGGCCUCAAGAUGAGAGACUGACUGGCCCAGCUUUUCUUCACUGAGACCUCUCCCAAUUAAGUGUGAUGGUGUUGCAGCAAUCUGUUAACUGCCCCAGCGAUAAUGUGUAAGUAAAAUCAAUCUACCACCUGCUGUUCAACUUGCAUUUGUGGGAGUCACAGUUUAAACACAACUCCUUGUUACUAUGGGGACUUGGAUGAUAAAAAUACUAACAGACAUAAGCUUUAAAAUGGCCUUCCUGUCAAGUUACAUCCAGUCUGCAUCAUGAAUGGGCUAGAGAGCAGUGAGCAAAGCCCCCCUGCUCCUUAAGAAUAUGGAGGACUGGGGCAGGAGGUUUAGCUCAGUGGCACCAGCGCCUGCCUGGCAAGCACAAGGUCCUGAGUUUGAUCUCCAGUACUAACAAAUAUAUAAAGAAAGAAAGAAUACAGAGCACUGCUCCAAGGCCUGGACCAUGGGAGAUACGAGAGGCAAAGAGGAAGAACUGGUCUUGGAGUUGUGUCCCCAGCAAAGCAGAAUUAAAGAAUUUGCACAAGAUACUGAGGAGAAUGUACAUUGACUCCCUCAGGAUGGAAAAAUUUAUGGAGACAGAAAAAAUGCAAUUUCCAGAUGGUCUUGACUUAUAA